This 425-nucleotide unclassified non-coding RNA is filed under the name soil metagenome. Its description in RNAcentral is "partial contains 5.8S ribosomal RNA, internal transcribed spacer 2, and large subunit ribosomal RNA". The stretch from base 1 to 120 matches the Rfam family "5.8S ribosomal RNA", at positions 35 to 154 of the family's 154-position model. The record is from RNAcentral.
GAUGAAGAACGUAGCGAAAUGCGAUAAGUAGUGUGAAUUGCAGAAUUCCGUGAAUCAUCGAAUCUUUGAACGCACAUUGCGCCUUCUGGUAUUCCGGAAGGCAUGCCUGUUCGAGAGUCAUUAAUAACCGUUUCGAUCCCUUUCUUUCAGAAAUUACAAAGAGGAAAAGGGUUUGGUUAUGGUGGAGGAGGGAAAGGGAGCGUUUAGCCUGUAAAAAAAGAGGCUGUGUUCCGCCUCCCCCCCAAAAUUGUACAGGCGGUCGCGUGCGCCCACGCAUCGAGGUGUUGUAAAAGCUGCCACGGCACUUUUCACCUGUGCAGUGCGAGAUUGGCCAGCCGGUUUAAAAACCCCUCCAAACAAUCAAAGGUUGACCUCGGAUCAGGUAGGGAUACCCGCUGAACUUAAGCAUAUCAAUAAGCGGAGGA